GACGAACGCUGGCGGCGUGCUUAACACAUGCAAGUCGAACGGUGAAGCGCCUUCCUUUUUGGUGGGUGUGGAUGAGUGGCGAACGGGUGAGUAACACGUGAGUAACCUGCCCCCUUCUUCUGGAUAACCGCAUGAAAGUGUGGCUAAUACGGGAUAUUCUGGGUCUGUCGCAUGCUGGGUCUGUGAAAGAUAUUGUUUCGGUGGGGGAUGGGCUCGCGGCCUAUCAGCUUGUUGGUGGGGUGAUGGCCUACCAAGGCGGUGACGGGUAGCCGGCCUGAGAGGGUGGACGGUCACACUGGGAAUGAGACACGGCCAAGACUCCUACGGGAGGCAGCAGUGGGGAAUAUUGCACAAUGGGGGCAAGCCUGAUGCAGCGACGCCGCGUGAGGGAUGGAGGCCUGCGGGUUGUGAACCUCUUUCGCCAGUGAAGCAGGCCUGCCUCGUUUGUGGGUGGGUUGACGGUAGCUGGAGAGGAAGCGCCGGCUAACUACGUG
This 494-nucleotide ribosomal RNA is filed under the name uncultured bacterium. RNAcentral describes it as "partial 16S ribosomal RNA". It matches the Rfam family "Bacterial small subunit ribosomal RNA", at positions 28 to 507 of the family's 1533-position model. The record is from RNAcentral.